ACCUCCCACCCGUGUUUAUUGUACCUUGUUGCUUCGGUGCGCCCGCCUCACGGCCGCCGGGGGGCUUCUGCCCCCGGGCCCGCGCCCACCGAAGACACCAUUGAACUCUGUCUGAAGAUUGCAGUCUGAGCAUAAACUAAAUAAGUUAAAACUUUCAACAACGGAUCUCUUGGUUCCGGCAUCGAUGAAGAACGCAGCGAAAUGCGAUAACUAAUGUGAAUUGCAGAAUUCAGUGAAUCAUCGAGUCUUUGAACGCACAUUGCGCCCCCUGGUAUUCCGGGGGGCAUGCCUGUCCGAGCGUCAUUGCUGCCCUCAAGCACGGCUUGUGUGUUGGGCUCCGUCCCCCCGGGGACGGGCCCGAAAGGCAGCGGCGGCACCGAGUCCGGUCCUCGAGCGUAUGGGGCUUUGUCACCCGCUCUGUAGGCCCGGCCGGCGCCAGCCGACAACCCAUCAUCCUUUUCAGGUUGACCUCGGAUCAGGUAGGGAUACCCGCUGAACUUAAGCAUAUCAAAAGCCCGGAGGGAA
RNAcentral lists this ribosomal RNA (525 nucleotides) under fungal sp. Its description in RNAcentral is "eukaryotic LSU rRNA". The stretch from base 150 to 303 matches the Rfam family "5.8S ribosomal RNA". Lineage: Eukaryota; Fungi. The record is from RNAcentral.